GUCCCUAUCUACCGUGGGCGCUGGAAAUUUGAGAGGAUCUGCUCCUAGUACGAGAGGACCAGAGUGGACGAACCUCUGGUGUACCGGUUGUGACGCCAGUCGCAUCGCCGGGUAGCUAUGUUCGGAAGGGAUAACCGCUGAAAGCAUCUAAGCGGGAAGCCUACCUCAAGAUAAGAUUUCCCUAGGACUUUAUGUCCUCUAAAGAGCCGUUCGAGACUAGGACGUUGAUAGGUUGGAUGUGGAAGCAUAGUGAUAUGUGAAGCUGACCAAUACUAAUUGCUCGUGAGGCUUGACUAUACAACACCCAAGCAGUUG
This 315-nucleotide ribosomal RNA is filed under the name Acinetobacter baumannii. RNAcentral describes it as "partial 23S ribosomal RNA". It matches the Rfam family "Bacterial large subunit ribosomal RNA", at positions 2634 to 2925 of the family's 2925-position model. RNAcentral also lists the same sequence under 1 other name. Lineage: Bacteria; Pseudomonadati; Pseudomonadota; Gammaproteobacteria; Moraxellales; Moraxellaceae. The record is from RNAcentral.